UGGGGAAUAUUGCACAAUGGGCGAAAGCCUGAUGCAGCAACGCCGCGUGAGUGAUGAAGGCCUUCGGGUUGUAAAGCUCUGUCUUUUGGGACGAUAAUGACGGUACCAAAGGAGGAAGCCACGGCUAACUACGUGCCAGCAGCCGCGGUAAUACGUAGGUGGCAAGCGUUGUCCGGAUUUACUGGGCGUAAAGGAUGCGUAGGCGGAUUUUUAAGUGAGAUGUGAAAUACCCGGGCUUAACUUGGGUGCUGCAUUUCAAACUGGGAAUCUAGAGUGCGGGAGAGGAGAAUGGAAUUCCUAGUGUAGCGGUGAAAUGCGUAGAGAUUAGGAAGAACACCAGUGGCGAAGGCGAUUCUCUGGACCGUAACUGACGCUGAGGCAUGAAAGCGUGGGUAGCAAACAGGAUUAGAUACCCUGGUAGUCCACGCCGUAAACGAUGAGUACUAGGUGUAGGAGGUAUCGACCCCUUCUGUGCCGCAGUUAACACAAUAAGUACUCCGCCUGGGAAGUACGAUCAGCAAGAUUAAAACUUAAAUGAAUUGACGGGGGUCAUAGCUGUUUCCU
This 564-nucleotide ribosomal RNA is filed under the name uncultured bacterium. RNAcentral describes it as "partial 16S ribosomal RNA". It matches the Rfam family "Bacterial small subunit ribosomal RNA", at positions 355 to 938 of the family's 1533-position model. The record is from RNAcentral.